GAUGAACGCUGGCGGCGUGCCUAAUACAUGCAAGUCGAGCGAACAGACGAGGAGCUUGCUCCUCUGACGUUAGCGGCGGACGGGUGAGUAACACGUGGAUAACCUACCUAUAAGACUGGGAUAACUUCGGGAAACCGGAGCUAAUACCGGAUAAUAUAUUGAACCGCAUGGUUCAAUAGUGAAAGACGGUUUUGCUGUCACUUAUAGAUGGAUCCGCGCCGCAUUAGCUAGUUGGUAAGGUAACGGCUUACCAAGGCAACGAUGCGUAGCCGACCUGAGAGGGUGAUCGGCCACACUGGAACUGAGACACGGUCCAGACUCCUACGGGAGGCAGCAGUAGGGAAUCUUCCGCAAUGGGCGAAAGCCUGACGGAGCAACGCCGCGUGAGUGAUGAAGGUCUUCGGAUCGUAAAACUCUGUUAUUAGGGAAGAACAAAUGUGUAAGUAACUAUGAACGUCUUGACGGUACCUAAUCAGAAAGCCACGGCUAACUACGUG
This 497-nucleotide ribosomal RNA is filed under the name uncultured bacterium. RNAcentral's name for it is "partial 16S ribosomal RNA". It matches the Rfam family "Bacterial small subunit ribosomal RNA", at positions 28 to 507 of the family's 1533-position model. The record is from RNAcentral.